UGCUUAUUUCUCCCUUCUGAAUGGAACUGA
Molecule: non-coding RNA, 30 nt
Filed under: Mus musculus (house mouse)
Lineage: Eukaryota; Metazoa; Chordata; Mammalia; Rodentia; Muridae
Also listed under: 1 other name
Source: RNAcentral